UGCAGUCGAACGGUAACAUUUCUAGCUUGCUAGAAGAUGACGAGUGGCGGACGGGUGAGUAAUGCUUGGGAACUUGCCUUUGCGAGGGGGAUAACAGUUGGAAACGACUGCUAAUACCGCAUAAUGUCUUCGGACCAAACGGGGCUUAGGCUCCGGCGCAAAGAGAGGCCCAAGUGAGAUUAGCUAGUUGGUAAGGUAAUGGCUUACCAAGGCGACGAUCUCUAGCUGUUCUGAGAGGAAGAUCAGCCACACUGGGACUGAGACACGGCCCAGACUCCUACGGGAGGCAGCAGUGGGGAAUAUUGCACAAUGGGGGAAACCCUGAUGCAGCCAUGCCGCGUGUGUGAAGAAGGCCUUCGGGUUGUAAAGCACUUUCAGUUGUGAGGAAAAGUUAGUAGUUAAUACCUGCUAGCCGUGACGUUAACAGCAGAAGAAGCACCGGCUAACUCCGUGCCAGCAGCCGCGGUAAUACGGAGGGUGCGAGCGUUAAUCGGAAUUACUGGGCGUAAAGCGCACGCAGGCGGUUUGUUAAGCUAGAUGUGAAAGCCCCGGGCUCAACCUGGGAUGGUCAUUUAGAACUGGCAGACUAGAGUCUUGGAGAGGGGAGUGGAAUUCCAGGUGUAGCGGUGAAAUGCGUAGAUAUCUGGAGGAACAUCAGUGGCGAAGGCGACUCCCUGGCCAAAGACUGACGCUCAUGUGCGAAAGUGUGGGUAGCGAACAGGAUUAGAUACCCUGGUAGUCCACACCGUAAACGCUGUCUACUAGCUGUGUGUGUCUUUAAGACGUGCGUA
This 791-nucleotide ribosomal RNA is filed under the name uncultured Alteromonas sp. RNAcentral's name for it is "bacterial SSU rRNA". It matches the Rfam family "Bacterial small subunit ribosomal RNA", at positions 56 to 845 of the family's 1533-position model. The record is from RNAcentral. Lineage: Bacteria; Pseudomonadati; Pseudomonadota; Gammaproteobacteria; Alteromonadales; Alteromonadaceae.